RNAcentral lists this ribosomal RNA (1134 nucleotides) under 'Corylus avellana' phytoplasma. RNAcentral describes it as "bacterial SSU rRNA". It matches the Rfam family "Bacterial small subunit ribosomal RNA", at positions 187 to 1335 of the family's 1533-position model. Lineage: Bacteria; Bacillati; Mycoplasmatota; Mollicutes; Acholeplasmatales; Acholeplasmataceae. The record is from RNAcentral.
UUUUAAAGACCUAGCAAUAGGUAUGCUUAGGGAGGAGCUUGCGUCACAUUAGUUAGUUGGUGGGGUAAAGGCCUACCAAGACUAUGAUGUGUAGCCGGGCUGAGAGGUUGAACGGCCACAUUGGGACUGAGACACGGCCCAAACUCCUACGGGAGGCAGCAGUAGGGAAUUUUCGGCAAUGGAGGAAACUCUGACCGAGCAACGCCGCGUGAACGAUGAAGUAUUUCGGUACGUAAAGUUCUUUUAUUAGGGAAGAAUAAAUGAUGGAAAAAUCAUUCUGACGGUACCUAAUGAAUAAGCCCCGGCUAACUAUGUGCCAGCAGCCGCGGUAAUACAUAGGGGGCAAGCGUUAUCCGGAAUUAUUGGGCGUAAAGGGUGCGUAGGCGGUUAAAUAAGUUUAUGGUCUAAGUGCAAUGCUCAACAUUGUGAUGCUAUAAAAACUGUUUAGCUAGAGUAAGAUAGAGGCAAGUGGAAUUCCAUGUGUAGUGGUAAAAUGCGUAAAUAUAUGGAGGAACACCAGUAGCGAAGGCGGCUUGCUGGGUCUUUACUGACGCUGAGGCACGAAAGCGUGGGGAGCAAACAGGAUUAGAUACCCUGGUAGUCCACGCCGUAAACGAUGAGUACUAAACGUUGGGUAAAACCAGUGUUGAAGUUAACACAUUAAGUACUCCGCCUGAGUAGUACGUACGCAAGUAUGAAACUUAAAGGAAUUGACGGGACUCCGCACAAGCGGUGGAUCAUGUUGUUUAAUUCGAAGGUACCCGAAAAACCUCACCAGGUCUUGACAUGCUUCUGCAAAGCUGUAGAAACACAGUGGAGGUUAUCAGUUGCACAGGUGGUGCAUGGUUGUCGUCAGCUCGUGUCGUGAGAUGUUGGGUUAAGUCCCGCAACGAGCGCAACCCUUAUUGUUAGUUACCAGCACGUAAUGGUGGGGACUUUAGCAAGACUGCCAGUGAUAAAUUGGAGGAAGGUGGGGACGACGUCAAAUCAUCAUGCCCCUUAUGACCUGGGCUACAAACGUGAUACAAUGGCUGUUACAAAGGGUAGCUGAAGCGCAAGUUUUUGGCGAAUCUCAAAAAAACAGUCUCAGUUCGGAUUGAAGUCUGCAACUCGACUUCAUGAAGUUGGAAUCGC